This 460-nucleotide ribosomal RNA is filed under the name uncultured bacterium. RNAcentral describes it as "partial 16S ribosomal RNA". It matches the Rfam family "Bacterial small subunit ribosomal RNA", at positions 338 to 795 of the family's 1533-position model. The record is from RNAcentral.
CCUACGGGAGACAGCAGUGAGGAAUAUUGGUCAAUGGGCUUACACCUGAACCAGCCAAGUCGCGUGAGGGAAGACUGCCCUAUGGGUUGUAAACCUCUUUUGUCAGGGAGCAACGCCGGCUACGUGUAGCCGGACUGAGAGUACCUGAAGAAAAAGCAUCGGCUAACUCCGUGCCAGCAGCCGCGGUAAUACGGAGGAUUCGAGCGUUAUCCGGAUUUAUUGGGUUUAAAGGGUGCGUAGGCGGAAUGCCAAGUCAGCGGUAAAAUCGCGGGGCUCAACCUCGCUCCGCCGGGUAAACUGGCGUUCUUGAGUGGGCGAGAAGUAUGCGGAAUGCGUGGUGUAGCGGUGAAAGGCAUAGAUAUCACGCAGAACUCCGAUUGCGAAGGCAGCAUACCGGCGCCCAACUGACGCUGAAGCACGAAAGCGUGGGUAUCGAACAGGAUUAGAUACCCGAGUAGUC